Molecule: long non-coding RNA, 1616 nt
Filed under: Fragaria vesca (wild strawberry)
Lineage: Eukaryota; Viridiplantae; Streptophyta; Magnoliopsida; Rosales; Rosaceae
Description: long non-coding RNA (FVES_LNC005620)
Source: RNAcentral
AUAUAUGUUGAUAUAGUUUUGGAUGAGGAGAGAGUUUGGUAUAGUUUGCGGACCAUCUAGACCAUAGUUAAAUUCGACGCGUGAGCGACACAACUAGCAUUUAAUUAAACUGUAGAAGAGAACGUUAAUGAAGAACCAGUUACCCAAGCUUUCAAGAAAUUUCACUCCAUAAGUUCAACUUCAUGCAACAUCUCGACGCAUCAAUAUCGUUCAACAAUUUAACUCGCUUUCUCAUCGCCUAUAUCUGUCAACUCUUGAUUCAUCGCAUCUCCAAAUGAGAAAGGAGAAUCAUAGCUCCAAAUUUCUGGCUUUCGAUGGCCAAUAAAAAUCCAACUUUCGGAUUGCUAACUAGUAUUUUCCGGCAACUCCUACAAUACUUAGCAUGUUUGAGGUAUGAUACUUCGACUAUUUGGUGACGGCGAGCUAUACAUCUUGGUAUGGUUGGUUUUGAGUUUCAGUGAAGUUACGAAGAUUUGGGAAAGAAUGAGAUAUAAGAGGAGCAGAGGAAUUAAAGUAACGUAACCAUGGCAAACUUCAUAUCACCUAUGUAUGUUUCUUUGUUGGACGGUUGUAACGGGAUUCCAUUCUGCAAACAUAUAUCGCGCAUCCCCAUCUUUCAAUAUCUCCACAACCACGACUAGGUAUCUCUCCGCCACCACCAUCUGACACGAUUCGCAAGACUACUGAAGAAACCCAUGUCAAAGUUCACCUAAUCACACAUGUAUCAUUUAUUAAGCGUGUUACAACUAGUCUUUCGUGAGUCGAACUCACAACCUUCUACUUACUAAGAGUAGACUAUGCCGCUAUACCAAAUGGUAUUGGCCCGUCUGACACGAGUCGCAAGACCACUGAAGAAACCCAUGUCAAAGUUUACCUAAUCACACAUGUAUCAUUUAUUAAGCGUGUUACAACUAAAAUGUUACAACUAGUCUUCCGUAAGUCGAACUCACAACCUUCUACUUACUAAAAGUAAACUAUGCCGCUAUACCAAAUGGUAAAGGCCAAGUAAAUAUGUUUUCAUGUUCUUUGCCAUGCCAAAUGCAGAUAUAAUACAUAAUGAAAGAACAGAUAAUCAGAUGACAUUUCAAAAAAGAGGAAGCGUGGUCUUUCAUACUAUUUAGGCAAUUAGGCCUCACAUAUGUUUUCAAUUUCAAAUCUCAUUCCCUCAUGGUCACUCGAUUGUACUUUCAAAGUCUGAUAGUUAUUCAUUUGUGACAUGGCAAACUAUUAGACCAUCCAUGACGACACAACCUUCAUUCAUUUCAAACGUGAAUGCACUAUGUUAUGAUACAUCAUACGUGUGUGACGUCAUUCUCAAUUUUAGACUCCUCGUGAUUAGAGACAAAAUUAAGCCCAACACUAGAUCCAAGUCAGUAUGACAAACUCUCCUAAUACACUAUAGAAACUCUUUCACCCUUUUGGCUUCAAUUAGAAAUCAAACAUGUCGAAGAACCUGUCAUUCAUGUUUAGCAAAAACUUGUUUAGACUUUCCUACCGCCCUGGACUAUUGAGUUUUAGAUCGGCCCCCUCCCGAACGAUGGAUCUCCUACCAAAGCACACUAAUAGUGGAUGGAUCUAUAGACGUUUUUCCACAUCAAUCAACCCUCUCACUCAAA